GAGGAUAUAGCUCAGUGGUAGAGCACAUGCUUAACUAGCACAACGUCCUGGGUUUAAUCCCCAGGACCUUCA
RNAcentral lists this transfer RNA (72 nucleotides) under Camelus bactrianus (Bactrian camel). It matches the Rfam family "tRNA". From Rfam's summary of the family: Transfer RNA (tRNA) molecules are approximately 80 nucleotides in length. Their secondary structure includes four short double-helical elements and three loops (D, anti-codon, and T loops). Further hydrogen bonds mediate the characteristic L-shaped molecular structure. tRNAs have two regions of fundamental functional importance: the anti-codon, which is responsible for specific mRNA codon recognition, and the 3' end, to which the tRNAs corresponding amino acid is attached (by aminoacyl-tRNA synthetases). tRNAs cope with the degeneracy of the genetic code in two manners: having more than one tRNA (with a specific anti-codon) for a particular amino acid; and 'wobble' base-pairing, i.e. permitting non-standard base-pairing at the 3rd anti-codon position. Lineage: Eukaryota; Metazoa; Chordata; Mammalia; Artiodactyla; Camelidae. RNAcentral also lists the same sequence under 2 other names. The record is from Rfam by way of RNAcentral.